AAUACCUUCAUUCCCUAAUGAAGAUCUAAAGAAGACGACUGCAAUCUUUACCACCAUCAUUGUUGAGAUCUACAAAACAUGGUUGUACUCUUCUCUGUUACCCUCAAUGGUCUCCAUCACGUGAGUGGACGUGUAGAGAACCAUAAUUUUGUGUAGGAGAUGGAAGCCCUAGAACUAUAUUUUUCUUGUUUAAGAAAAUCCAUAUGUUAAAGUCUAUUAUUCUAUUCUAAUUUCAUCUCUUUUAUAUAAGCACUUAUUAGAGUCAAGUUUGACUAGGAAUUAAGCUAGUAGAGGGGCCGCAGACUCAUGGACUUUCUAGCAUCAACUUAAUAGCCAAAGCCCAAUCAUUUCAUGACUAAUAGACUUUAACCUAGGGUAUUGCACUAAAAGCCCAAAGUUGCACUCUAAUAACCCGUGUAAUUAAAUAAAAGCCAAAUUAAUUAAAACUUCUUUUAAUUAAUUUUAGCCUUGGUCUUAGAGCAAUAAUAACCACUUAAUUAACCAUCUAUCUGAUGCUCAUAAUUAAACCUAGGCCUUUGAUGAAUGCCGUGCCUCUAUUAGUUACGUAUUUACACCUAAGUCACUAUUUGUUCUAAUGAUUAUUUUUAAUAUAUCUAUAUUUUUAGAAAAAUUUACAAAUAAAUAUCAUUAUUUAAUAAACAAUUUAUUGAAUUAACUACAACCACAAAUUUAAAUGAUCAAGUAUCACAAAAUAGCUUAGGUAAGCAUCAAUAGUAUAGAUUCCAUCUUGUAAGGAUAUGUUUCUACUAUCCAUGAAAUUACAUCUCCAAGUUAUUGAGCUUUUGACCAUUUAUAUAGGUCUCACUUGUUGAUAACUCAAAAGAUAUAAUAGAUGAAUGCAAGUUCAUUACUCACUCACGAAUAAGGUCAAUUGAGCUUAUUAAAGCUUAUGUGAAUUAUGAUCUAUGACAUUUGUUAAACUAGAUCAUAAUUCACUAUAAUCCAGUUCAAUAUGCAAAUCACAUACAUAUACAUAUUAACUAUUCUACUCGAAGUCUCAUUUUUAGUGAUUAAGAUAAAAUCACUCACGAUAGAAGUAGAAAAAUUACAACCUUACAUAAUGAAAUGCCCAUUUCAUUAAUAGUUGUGCACAAUCUUUUAUUUAUAAAAAAACCUGUGAUUUAUAUCUUCUAGUAUUAAUGUCAUACGCCCAAUAUAUAAAUCACAUACUUUAUAAGGGCUAAUAAUAUAUGCUCAAAUAAUAAAUAAAUAAAUUUUAUGAAUUUAAAAAUUGUGAUUUAUCGCAUGCCUUUAAUUAGGGUACAAAAUAACAAUAAGUCUAACAGGAGAUUCAUAAACAAUCUCACUCCAGAACAAUCAUAAUUAUUAUCGACUUAUUAGUCUUGCUUUUGGUUAUGUGUCAAUCGUUGCAGGUAAGUUGUUAUGCAUAUAUAUUCUUGAAAUCCAUGUGCUUAAUUUAAGAGUUACCUAUAUUCUUGAAACGACUUGCGACAAAUGCCGAGAGUAGACUUAAAAUUUUAAAACAAAUCUCAAUAGAUUUGGUUUCUAGUAAUAUCUAGCCAUUUUGAUUUUUCAACAAUCUUAAUGAUUGUUGGUGGUCGUUGUUACGUUAAAUCCAGACCUGUAUAACAGAUUUUUUAAAACAAUAUCCAUUAAUAUUAUACAGCUUACGACCAAAACGUAGAACAAAAAACGAUAGACAUAUAUAUAUAUAUAAACAAGUUCUUGUUACUUCAAAAAUUUUGAAACAAAAAAAAAAAAGUAAACAUAUAUUUAAUCAAGAUUUUUUCUUUAUAUAAACUUCUUCCGAUUAAAAUUCACGAGUCUGAUAGCGAUAGGUCAUUGGUAGAUGAACGGUAUAAAAAUAGUUAAAUUUAAAUUAAUUUGCCAUCACGAUUAAUAGAUACAAGACAUAAAAUCUUUAAAAUCCAGGAUCUUCGUCUCGUACGUGUUAUUCCAGUUACUGCCAACAAUUUUCUAAAUUGAAGUGCUUGGCAUUGGUCCCUACAAGAAAUACGAAUUUAAAAGACCAUUUCUCUGGAACAUUUCCGAAUUUAGUCAUGAAAGUCACCCUGGAUACCACAAAUACACUUUAUUUAUUACAAUCACCAUCAUGUUGGCAAUUAAUUUUAAUAAAUGUGCAUGUCGAUAAGUCAUUAAGAUACAGUUAAGGGGUACAN
This 2162-nucleotide long non-coding RNA is filed under the name Citrus x clementina. RNAcentral's name for it is "Citrus clementina (C. clementina) long non-coding RNA (CCLE_LNC005300)". The record is from RNAcentral. Lineage: Eukaryota; Viridiplantae; Streptophyta; Magnoliopsida; Sapindales; Rutaceae.